RNAcentral lists this ribosomal RNA (253 nucleotides) under uncultured bacterium. RNAcentral describes it as "partial 16S ribosomal RNA". It matches the Rfam family "Bacterial small subunit ribosomal RNA", at positions 524 to 776 of the family's 1533-position model. The record is from RNAcentral.
UACAGAGGGUGCAAGCGUUGUUCGGAAUUAUUGGGCGUAAAGCGCGUGUAGGCGGCUUUGCAAGUCGGGUGUGAAAUCCCUCAGCUUAACUGAGGAAGUGCGCCCGAAACUGCUUUGCUUGAGUGCCGGAGAGGAUGGCGGAAUUCCCCAAGUAGAGGUGAAAUUCGUAGAUAUCAGGAGGAACACCAGUGGCGAAGGCGGCUUCCUGGACACCAACUGACGCUGAGACGCGAAAGCGUGGGGAGCAAACAGG